Molecule: long non-coding RNA, 370 nt
Organism: Capra hircus (goat)
Lineage: Eukaryota; Metazoa; Chordata; Mammalia; Artiodactyla; Bovidae
Exons: 2
Source: RefSeq, a predicted model, not a curated record
GUUCUACGUGCGCGCUCCCGAGGUAGCCGUCAAUGCCCUCACCCCUUUCCUACGCAGCUGGAAUCGGAGCUUGCCUAAGACGGGUUACCUUGCCACUUGUAUAACAAUGAGCCAACUGUCUGUAUCUCUGCGCAAGUUCAAAGAAGAGGCUUCGCAGAGUGUGGGAAGUAAAGAAUCGGGAGUCAUGUGAUCCAUGAGAUCGCCGCCAUUUUGUGGGGGGGGUUCCCCUUUUCUUUUGUAGCUCAGCUUGAUGGAGCUUAGUCCCCCAACCAGAGAUCAACCAGCGGUGGAGGCAUAAGAGUCCUAACCACUGGACCACCAGGAAAUUCCCUUGCAUCUCCUUGAGUAAAUAAAAGUUAUUCACCAACUA